Molecule: long non-coding RNA, 14693 nt
Filed under: Salmo salar (Atlantic salmon)
Lineage: Eukaryota; Metazoa; Chordata; Actinopteri; Salmoniformes; Salmonidae
Description: lncRNA (ENSSSAG00000085524.1)
Rfam family: mir-365 microRNA precursor family (bases 1382-1467)
Source: RNAcentral
AGUCCUUUAACACAGACUGUUUAUACAAGCCUGCCAUUUUAAGCUACAGUUGUGAUAAAGCUGCGGCUGUCAGAUGGCAGCUCCAUUGAACUAUUUUACACAUCAGUGUACUUAUUUAAACACUUCAUUUGUUUGUUAUCAUCAGUAUAAGGACAAAAUACAAUAAACCUUGACGAUUAGCAUUUGUGAAACAUUAUCUUCUAACUGGAGAAAUGAUAUAAAAAUUCACCUCAAGAGUGAACUGAGUUUCGAGUUUAGAUCGAUUAAAAAACGGAAUUAAAUAGAUUACACCUUCAAACUAAGUGAGAAGUUAUUAACUUUCCUAUUGCUCUGUUUCAGGUCAUUUUAAGAUAAAUGUAGGCCUAUGCUGAUUUAUAUCCUACUACCAUAAAGAUGAAAUGACUCACUACAAAAACUAAACCAAAAACUCUGCAUGACACAACUCCUCAAUACCAACCAGGAAAACAGCCAGUAUGCGUAUGCGAGCAUUGGGAGGCUGGAAACACGGUCCUGGGCCUGGAUUGAAUAAGCACCAUGGCUAUGCUAGAUAUCUGGGAUAUCCACCAAGAGCGCUGAUUAAAGUUAGGAUAGAAACAGUGCUUGUUGCUACCGCCUACCAAGCCUUUCUCAAUGGAAUUUUACAUUGUUCCAGGUCCAGUCACUCAUAUCGCGACUUGUAAUAGUCUUUGUAAUCACUUUAACUAGACCAUAUCAGUCUCUAACACAGGCUGCAGCUGUAACUAGGCCCGGGCCUACAUUACAUGUGUGAGCAUAUGCCAGGGAAUGCUUGUUCAAGAUAUGUCAGGUCAUUGGAUUCGUUCGUUGCGUUUCCAACUUAAACACAGCAAUUCCUAAAGCCAUAACAUAUGUAAUAUAUUGUCAUUAUGUAGUAAUUGUGAAUACAGCAAACUCCUCUAAUUCAACUGGCCUAGGUUGUGUUUACCUUGUCUGCUACAGUUAAGCUGAAGAGCUAAUGAACUAGACUAGGGACCCUCCUGAGAAAGACUGAAGCUCUGAACUCAUUCAACCCCCUUUAAAACGCCUACGCUAAUCCCAAUAAAACAUAGCCAUUAUAAAUAUACAAUUCAUAAAUUGCUUUGUGUGAAAUAUGCAACCCUCUAGCCCCAUCCAUUUAAACUCAAAAGUCUAAUGUGUUGGCCUAUCGACAAGCUGGCUGGUUCUUCUUUCGCCUCUGUUUGUUGUUCCGAAUGAUCCAGCCACAGUUCUGCUGGUACCCAACUAAUCCAAGCUGUGAACCCACUCCUCAGCCGGUCCACAAGCCAGUAAACGCUACGGUUCAAUCUCAAAAAAGUUGGAACAGACAUAAGAGAGAGGGAGAAAAAGAGAGAGAGAUAGGGAGGGAGGGAGAACGAGAAAAAGGCAGCAAGAAAAGUGAGGGACUUUUAGGGGCAGCUGUGUUUUAUUAACCCAGUCAUAAUGCCCCUAAAAAUCCUUAUUGCUCUUGCAAUGGUCAACAGAAUCUCCUAUAAGAACAAGUCUCUAUGUUAUGAGCGACGCACUCAUACGGACAUAUUACAAGCUCUAUGAUGGCUCCCUGUGGCUCAGUUGGUAGAGCAUGGUGUUUGCAAUGCCAGGGUUGUGGGUUCGAUUCCCACGGGGGGCCAGUACAGAGAAAAAAACGAAAAAUGUAUGAGAUGAAAUGUAUGUAUGUAUGCAUUCACUACUGUAAGUUGCUCUGGGUAAGAGCAUCUGCUAAAUGACUAAAAUGUAAAAAAAAAUGUAAAUGUAAAUCCAUUGGUCACAUUGUCAAGUCCCUCAAAGAUGUUCAGACAGUCUUGGAACAAGUUGGAGGGCAUUGAAAAUUGAAUAGAAAAUGCUUAUUUGUUAUUCCCAACUGAUGCAUUUCGACAUUACGGCCGUCGUCAAUGAAUUAGUCAAACAAAUCUCGGUAGAUGCAACAGACGUUCUUAUCCAAAGUUCGCGGCUCGUUCAAGGUGCUACGUACAGCAUCACGAUACUUUAGAUGAGUGGGAUGAUUCAAGAUCACAGCACACCUUGCCCAGACAGAACUAUAGACAUCUUCAUCCUCACUAAUGAUAGCUAAGUACCCUGCAGGCUGGCCUUAGGAUGACAUUAUCUCCCCAGUCUCCAUUGUUUAACAUGCAGACAAGUGAGCUAUAUGUCCUUCAGUUUCUUGACAUUGCGCCAAGGGCCAGACAGAGAGACGGGCGGAGGAUUCUGAUCUGAUCCGGGUUGGGGUGUGGUGGAGUUGGAGAACUGUCUGAGAGGGGGAGGCUGGCUGGAGGAGACGGAGAGGAGUACUCUUCCGUGGGGGUGAGUCAUCGCCUUCGGAGGCUAUUCGGUGAGUUUCAUCUGGGAGGAUCGUGAAUCUUCGGUUGGUCGGUGAAUCCGCUGUCCUCCUCGCCACAGCCAGAGAGGGGCUGGGAAGGAAAGUGUGGGGGCCUGGCUGGGCUGAUGACUCAGGGCCACGCACCGCACAAGGAGUGAGGGAGGAGGGGGGAGGGAGGGAGGAAUUACUCAGAGCAUGUGGAAUCUCAUACAGCUAUCACAGGACAGACACUGUGCUUCUACUAGGCUCCGAGGCACUGUAGAAGUCUGUCCUUAGACACAGCAGUAAUGGCAGUGGUAAGACGGCUAAGGGCCAUUGGUUUCCAUUGAAGAGGAACAGAACAGAGAAGUAUAUUCUUGUCCUCGCACUUUGAAGCAAAGUCAUGCCCCCCUUCUUAUUGAAUGAAUUACGUCUUUCUAUCACAGCAAGUCGGUGCAGGUUUGACACUCUGCAACUCCAGCAAAGUAAUUAAGCAUUGCAUGCUGUCAAAAUAUUCCAUUACAAAAGUCUUGAAGAUUUGGGAAGUGUCUCCGGUGACUAUCUAGAUGGGAGGGGGAGGUGAGUUGGGCCGUUUAUUGUCCAGUGAUGAUGCUCCUCCUCCAUCUCUGUCAUUGGAGAAAUCCUUUCGAAUAGCCAAGCUUCAUUGAGUGAUGAUGACAAACAUUUCCGGAAAGAGAAAGUGAGUGGUGUGAGAACUACCUGUAUGACAUGCACCAUGGACUCUCUAGCGUGAGUCAUCAGGCCUAAAGACGCCGAACUGUGAGUGGGGAUUCAGGUGUUGAUAAAUGGCCAACGGUGGAGGGCUGGUCGGGAGAUAGGUGGGGGCUGGUGUGUGUUGGAUAUGUGUAUUGUGUGCAUAUAUUGUCGUGUGCAUGUAUUGUGUGAUGUGAGUGUGGAGGGGGGUUAUGGUGUGUGUGUGUGUGUGUGUGUGUGUGUGUGUGUGUGUGUGUGUGUGGGGGUUGAUGUUGUGUGAUGCAUGACUCAACAGGAGAGAAGGCCACACCCAUGGGACGAGCCCAGGCUCCCUUCAGCGGCGGGAUGGGCCUAGAUCUCACUGACUAUGGGUGCCAUGAUUAAGGUGUCUUGGCCUAACGGAUGGAGCUCAAACACUUGGCCUCAUGGUGAACAAACACACCGACACAAAGGCAGAGAGGCCGGGCAAGAAAGUGGAGCACACCUUCACCUUCCGCCGUAUCCCCAUGUAUAAUCAAACUCUUCCAACCUGACUUCAGCCAACCGGCUACUGAGAGUCUGAGACCUGGCCCCGUAUUCACAAAGCAUCUCAGAGUAGCAGUGCUGAUCUUGGAUCAGGUCCCGCCCUGUCCAUACAAUCAUAUUCAUUAUGAUCUAAAAGGCAAAAAACUGAACCUAGAUCUGCACUCCUACUCUGAGACACUUUAUGAUAGGGACAACCCAGAGUAAACAGAACAACUUAGCCAUGGCUUAACCAUGUGUUGCAUCUCCAUUAUGGUAAUUUCCUCCAGUAAUUACUAAUCAUUAAAUGUGUCACUCCCAAUCACCUGGAUAGUGUUUAUAAUACAGCCUGCCUUGGUAAAUUCCCAUCAUUCUGAAAUAGCCUGAUUGUGUUUAAUUGGAGUGUUCACUAAACAGUCCACCCACCAGCAUCAACAAAUCCAAUGUAUUUUAACAGCAGGCAACAAUUUAAUCCACCUCAAUAUAUCGCCAUUGUAAAUAACCAAGACGCAGAGCACAAUGUUGCACAAUCAGCCUGAGUUUAGGAGGAGUUGAAAGGUCAGGUAAACAGUUGUCCCAGGCUUUCCCUGCCUUUUAAUCAGGACUCCUGUCCAUUUUUAUCUUGGUUAGAUCUCUUGACUUAUGGCUGUGUACACUAAUGCUGCACUUCAUGGCUUCUUAACCCACUGUUUGGUUUGCUUCAUAUGGACUGGAAUGUCAAGUUGCUAUUUGGCAUGGAGGUUUGUGCGCUGAGUCGCCGACAAAGCAUGGAAUGAAUCCUUUGUAGGCUAAUGGGCGGGCCAACCUUUUCCAGUGUUUGUCAUGGUGAGUUUGUUUGCGUAUAUGCGUACCUCAUAUUCAUAUUCAGUGCUAACUUCAGUGCUUGUGUGUUUCCAUUCUGUGAAUAUAGAUCCUCAAAGCUCAAAGUGGUCCUGUCUCAGAGAAAACUGCCUCAUUCAGCACAAAUAUUAUGGAAGACCAUUUAGAUACUUCUCCACCCUCCUUGUCCUCGCCAACCAGCCAUGGCGGAGGUGCUGACAGAUUUGUAGUUGUUUUCUGGCAAUUUGGGGUCAACGAUGCAUGUUAGCAAACCUUUUGCAUUGGAAAACCAGGAGGCCCCCAACGUGCAUUCUGCAAUGUACACAGCACUCCGUUGGGUGAUUGGCAUGUGUCUGAUGAUGCUUUAGAUAUGGUGGUGGCCGUCGAAUGAAGCGUUCACAGUAAACUAAUGUUGGCAGGGGUCUGUAUUGGCAAGAAUGCACAAAAUCCCUGUCAUUCGGUAACUAAUAGACCACUUUAACGCUAAAACAGACUUCGCAGAGUAAGCCACAGAUGCUCAAACGUUCAAAUCUCUGCACAGCACGUUGGAAAGGACUAAGGGGAGACAACCUUGCUACCUCAAAUGGCCUCCUGCAGUCUUCAAGGACUGAGUGGGGCCGGUGAACUUAAGGAGAUUUUCAUGGUUUCUGAAGUAUCUUUGGGUUUUCUCAGGCGGUCUCAACAGCACAGCAUGAAGGUUACAGCUUGAAGACCCACAGUCUAGUCCUCCUUGUUCAGGCUGGCUCAGUUGAUAGGACGACAUGACCAUAAGGGGAAAUCCAUCUUCCUCAAAACCCCUCUAAAAUUAGUCUUCCGCCCCUAUCAAAACUGUCAAUGGAGCUCCUUCAAAUCACAGAGAAAACAUGAUUGUUACUCUUUGGUCUUUAUGUUGGCAAACCCCCUUCAUCUGGAAGGAGAAGCAAAAUACAUUUAUAGUCCGUUUCAGGGGGAAAAUGUGUGUGUAGCACAACUGUUCUACAGGGCCGAACAAAGAGAUGUUUUAUGUUGGCACUCGAUUGAUGUCUGUGGAUCACAAUGUGACAAGGCAGACCUCAGAAGACCCUUGCCCAGCAGCUAGUGAUGUGCCUUCUUAUUCUUGGAGCCACUCUCUCAUUCCAGGACAUAGAAACCCUUGGCCUGGCCAUCCAUAGCCGCCCAACUCCAAAACCAAUAGUGCUGCCCAUGUGUAAGCAAAGAGGGCAAGUGUUUUUUUCACGACACCUAAAUGUCUUUUUCUUUUGUGGACAGCAUCUUUCAUUGCCCAUUUAGCUUUUUGUUAUUCCACAAGUCUUUGUCUUGGCCAGUUCGUGUGCACAUAGCUCUGCGGGAUCUGAGGCGUCACACACUGUGGGGAUGUUAUUUUGGUCAUGUGACGUCUAGAGUUGACACUGGCAUCGAUCCCCCAGUAGGAUCUUUUGACUUCCUUGACUUCCCUUUUAGUUUGUAGUGAAGUAAAGUGGCUUUACAGCGCUUCUACAUCGAAACCCUGUUUGGAACGCUUUCUUUAGAUCAGUGGUUAUCAACAGGUCGAUCUCCAAGGCAUUCCUAGUCGAUCGCCAAAUAUUCUGUGAAAAACCCACCAAUAAGCCUUGCGUUCCUAUUUUUCAUGUGCACUAUAGGCCUACCAAUCAGAGGACUGGCUUCAGUAACAUAGCAGGCAUAAAAGAAAGCUACAGCAAAUGGGGGACAGAGGGUAGUGCGCACGGUCUAGUACGUCACUGGGGACAAGCUUCCUGCCAUCCAGGACCUAUAUACCAGGAGGUGUCAGAGGGUAGUACGCACAGCCCAGUACAUCCCUGGGGCCAAGCUUCCUGCCAUCCAGGACCUAUAUAACAGGAGGUGUCAGAGGGUAGUGCGCACGGCCUAGUACAUCCCUGGGGCCAAGCUUCCUGCCAUCCAGGACCUAUAUACCAGGCGGUGUCAGAGGGUAGUGCGCACGGCCUAGUACAUCCCUGGGGCCAAGCUUCCUGCCAUCCAGGACCUAUAUACCAGGCGGUGUCAGAGGAAGGCCCAAAAAAUUGUCAAAGACUCCAUUCACCCAAGUCAUAGCCUAGGACCAAAAGGCUCCUUAACAGCUUCUACCUCCAAGCCAUAAGACUGCUGAACAAUGAAUCUAAUUGCCACCGGGACUAUACAUUGACCCCCCCCCCCCCCUUUUUUUUUUACACUGCUGCUACUCGCUGUUUAUUAUCUAUACAUAGUCACUUUACAAAUUACCUCAACUAACCUGUACCCCCGCAUAUUGACAAGGUACCGGUGUCCCCUGUAUAUAGCCUCUCUGAUGUGCAAUUUUCUUGUUACUUUUUGAUUUUAAUAUUUUUUUUAACUUUAGUUUGUUUAGUACAUAUUUUCUUAACUCUAUUUCUUGAACUGCAUUGUUGCUUGUAAGUAAGAAUUUCACUGUAAGGUUGUUGUAUUCGGCGCGUGUGACAAAUAACAUUUGAUUUGAAGACUGUGUCCCUUUUUGGUCGGAGUCAGCGGAGGCCCCUCAGUCUGCUGCUCUCUCCCUCCGCUGAGACUGACCAUCAGAUGCCUAGUAAAAUAAGAAAAAGUGAAUUAUUUAAAUGUAUGCUCAUUCAGCUGUGCCUCACAAUAAUACAACAACUGGUCUAUUAAUGGUGUGAUCAUAUAGCCUACCUCAAAUGUUGAAAUAUAAUUGUCAAAAAUGGUCUGAGAAGCAAAGCCAAUAUGCAGUGAUAAUAUAUUGUGCUUAUAGCCUACUGCACAAACCUCAUUACUAGAGUACCGCUUUUUACAGGUUAAUGUUGCCUAGGCUUAUGUUUUUAAAUCAUGUAAAAACGGUAGAUCUCGGCUUGCAUUUUGACUCAGAAAAGGUAUGUGACCACUGCUUUAGAUUAUUCCGGGUGGUUCCUGCCUUCUUCGUCUUUUAUUAUUUAUCUUCAUCUUCUUCAUUGUCUUCAUCUUCUUCUCAAAAAAUAGGUUUUAUUCAGUAGCCAACUGUUGCAUCAAUGCAUGCCACCAUUUCUAGAACAUGGCUGUAGAUUUCUUCUGAAGUCGGGUAAUAUUUAUGAUGUAACACACCACACAACUGCAGUCUUUUGAAACUUUAGCAGCUUCCGCCACGGCCAUUUUAGAUAUAUAAAGUUAAUAAAGAAGUUGUAUUGAGUAAACAGUCGUCUCUGUUCCCAGAGCGAGAGAGAAGAAAAUUCAUGUAGUGCAGUAAAUUGAACUCAACUUUGCCUCGUUCAUGAACCCCCCCCCCCUAAGAAGAACCUGUUCCAACAAGCGAAACACUUUCCAGCUAAGCUAACACAAAGGCCUUUUAACAUAACAUAAGAUAAUUGGUUUUCAAUUAUGAGAUACCAAUAAAAACCAGGUUAACGCCUCUGUCAGAGGCUGAGAAACGCUUGAAAAGUGUUGGACAUAACCAUAUAAAGGUCUUUUCUCUAAAUACUUUGAUACAGGGCCUUCAGAAAGUAUUCACACACCUUGACUUAUUCCACAUUUUGUUGUGUUACAGCCUGAAUUUAAAAUGGAUUACAUUGAGAUUUUGUGUCACUGGCUUACACACAAUACCUCAUAAUGUCAAAGAAUUUUUACAGAUUUUUACAAAUUAAUAAAAAAUGAAAAGCUGAAAUGUCUUUAGUCAAUAAGUAUUCAACUUCUUUUUUAUGGCAAGCCUAAAUAUGUUCAGGAGUAAAAAUGUGCCUAACAAGUCACAUAAUAAUUUGUAUGGACUCACUCUGUGUGCAAUAAGUGUUAAAACAUUAUUUUUUAUGACUACCUCAUCUCUGUACCCCACACAUACAAUUAUCUGUAAGGUCCCUCAGUCGAGCAAUGAAUUUCAAACACACAGAUCAGGGAGGUUUUCUAAUGCCUCACAAAGGCCACCUAAAAAGCAUACAUUGAAUAUCCCUUUGAGCAUGGUGAAAUUAUUAAUUACACUUUGGAUGGUGUAUCAAUACACCCAGUCACUACAAAGAUACACAGGCGUCCUUCAUAACACAGUUUCUGGAGAAGAAGGAAAAUGCUCAGGGAUUUCACCAUGAGGCCAAUGGUGACAUUAAAACAGUUAGAGAGUUGGCUGUGAUAGGAGAAAACUGAGGAUGGAUCAACAACAUUGUAGUUACUCCACAAUACUAACCUGAAUGAAAAGAGCGAAAAGAAGGAAGCCUGUACAGAACAAAAAUAUUCCAAAACAUGCAUCCUGUUUGUAAUAAUGCACUAAAGUAAAACUUCAAAACAUGUGGCAAAGAAAUUAUCUUUAUGUCCUGAAUACAAAGUGUUAUGUUUGGGGUAAAUACAACAUCACUGAGUACCACUCUUCAUAUUUUCAAGCAUGGUGGCUGCAUCAUGUUAUGAAUAUGAUUGUCAUCAGCAAGGACUAGGGAGUUUCUUCAGGAUAAAAAUAAACAGAAUAGAGAUAAGCACAGGCAAAAUUCUAGUAGAAAACUUGGUUCAGUCUGCUUUCCAAAAGACACUGGGAGACAAAUUCACCUUUCAGCAGGACAAUAACCUAAAACAAGGCCAAAUAUACACUGGAGUUUCUUACCAAGACGACAUUGAAUGUUCCUGAGUGGCCUAGUUAAAUUUUUUACUUACUUUUUUUAUUUUACCUUUAUUUAACUAGGCAAGUCAGUUAAUAACUUAAAUCUGCUUGAGAAUCUAUAGCAAGACUUGAAAAUGGCUGUCUAGCAAUGAUCAACAACCAACUUGACAGAACUUGAAGAAUUUUUAAAUAAUAAUGUGCAAAUAUUAUACAAUCCAGGUGUGCAAAACUCUUAAGAGACUUACACAAAAAUACUUACCACUGUAAUUGCUGCGAACGGCAAUUCUAACAUGUAUUGACUCAGGGAUGUGAAUACUUAUGGAAAUGAGAUAUUUCAUUAUUUCAUUUUCAGUACAUUUACAAACAUUUCUAAAAACAUGUUUUCACUUCAUCAUUAUGGGAUAUUGUGUGUAGAUGGGUGAGAAUAAAAUCUAUUGAAGCCAUUUUGAAUUCAGGCUGUAACACAACAAAAUGUGGAAGGGUAUAUAUGAAUACUUUCUGAAGAUACUGUACAUCCGACAGAAAACACCUUCCCACACACACAAGUCGACCCUGGGUGUUCUGCUGAGGUGUUGACGGGGGAUUGGCUUCCGAGGAACAGAGGCUGCAACCAAUUAGCAUACAGAGUAGUGACAUGUGAUGUAGCCUCAAAUGACCCCUGGUUAACAGAGAGGAUAGCAUGAACACACCACACUUUCUCUAUUCUCUCUCUCUCUUCAUCUCUCUUUCCUUUUCUCUCUCUUCCUCCUCUCUUUCUCUCGCUUCCUCCUCAAGUUCAGGCAGUCUAGAGGCCUUGUGAUCCGACUGAGCCCCGGCUUUGUGGGAUACUCUAGGACGCCAGCAUUAAGAUAAUGAGACAGUCACGGUGGGUCUAGUUCUCCAGGAAGUCAACCGGAGUAGUGAGAAUCUUUAAACUACUCUCAAGUCUAAUUCAGAGAGAGAGCGAGAGAGAGAGAGAGAGAGAGAGAGAGAGAGAGAGAAAGAGAGAGAGAGAUAACCCUGUGGUGGGCGUAAGUAAGAGGAUGGAUGGUUAAAUUGGCUGAAGAGAAUGAAAUGGAUUAAUUUCUGGUUUGAUUUAAAUGCGUAGUAAUUAGAGGUGGGAACAGAGUAGUAUUAGCAGCAGAGGUGAGAGAGAGAAGUGAGGUGAAUGCUCGACAUUUCCCAUUAGAAACUGCAUCUAGGCCGGUCAUAUGUGUUAAAUAGCCAUCUGAUUGGCUGACUGACUACGGUUGUAUAGGUCUGUUAUACUGUACAGAGCAUUAUGUAGUCAUGAGCUUAGAGAAUCAACUCCCCUGUAAACCAGAUGACCAUCUCAGUGGGACCUGCCAGGUUAAAUAAAGGAUAGAUCAAAUAAAUAAAGGUCGGGACUUUCCUCUCAUGCAGGCUGCAGUUUACAACGGUGUGGAGUGGGAAACGGGAUGGGACGGCUGGGUGAGAUUUACACUAGUAGAUUCACAAGGAGCUGGAGUGAAGUGGUGCUUUUCUCUGCUCUCCUGUCCUCCCUUUUUCUAUGCAGCUGCCUGGUAUGUGGGUCACACCAUGAUUUUGUGUGUGUGUUUUCACCCGCCUGUGUGUGUGUGUGUACCUCGGCGUGCACCUGUGUGUGUGUGUGUGUGUGUGUGUGUGUGUGUGUGUGUGUGUGUGUGUGUGUGUGUGUGUGUUCCUAUAUGUGAAUGCACCUCUCGCCAGACAGAGGGAGAUAUUUAAGUGUGACACGCUCCAUGGCCUGUUUGCCUUGCUCCCAGCCAUCAAGAGAAGUGUACACAUCCCUCACCCAGGCCAGGAAGGAUGUUUUUGAUGAAGUGGAGGGCUGAAUUUAGGCCCAGGCAUUCUCAGUAUCUGUCACCCAACUCCAAUAGAUCACCUUGCAGUGUGUUGCCCUGAGGAAGUGUGCGUCCAUGUUUACUCCCUCCCUCCCAGCUUCAGGUUGCUUUGAGCUGAGCCCAGUAAAUGUACACAGUGCCGUCAGAAAGUAUUCAUACCCCCUGACUUAAUCCACAUUAUUUAUAGCCGGAAUUCAAAAUUGAUUAAAUAGAUUUUCUUUUCACCCGUCUACACACAAUACCCGAAAUACUUCCAAAGUGAAAACAUGUCUUUAGACAUUUUAGAAAAUGUAUUGAAAAUUAAAUGCUUGUUAGAAUCACCUUUUUGCAACAACUACAGCUGUGAGUCUUUCUGGGUAAGUCUCUAAGAGCUUUGCACACCUGAAUUGUACAAUAUUUGCACAUUAUUCUUUUUUAAAUUCUUCAACCGCUGUCAAGUUGGUUGUUGAUCAUUUAUAGACAGCCAUUUUCAUGUCUUGGCAUAGAUUUACAGCCUUAUUGCAAACAGGAUGCAUGUUUUGGAAUAUUUGUAUUCUGUACAGGCUUUCUUCUUUCAUUCAGGUUAGUAUUGCGGAGUAACUACAAUGUUGUUGAUCAAUCCUCAGUUUUCUCCUAUCACAGCCAUUACUCUGUAACUGUUUUAAAGUCACCAUUGGCCUCAUGGUGAAAUCCCUGAGUGGUUUCCUUCCUCUCCAGUAACUGAGUUAGGAAGGACGCCUGUAUGUUUGUAGUGACUGGGUGUAUUGAUACACCAUCCAAAGUGUAAUUAAAAACUUCACCAUGCUCAAAGGCAUAUUCAAUGUCUGCUUUUUAAAGAUGUAUUUUUCAUCUACCAAUAGGUGCCCUUCUUUGGGAGACAUUGGAAAACCUCCCUGGUCUCUGUGGUUGAAUCUGGGUUUGAAAGUCACUGCUCGACUGAGGGACCUUACAGAUAAUUGUAUGUGUGGGGUACAGAGAUAGUCAAGUCAAAAAGCAUGUCAAACACUAUUAUUGCACAGUGAGUCCAUUCAACAUUAGUUGCUAAGCAUAUUUUUUACUCCUGAACUUAUCUAGGCUUGCCAUAAAAGGGCUUUUCAUUUUUUAUUAAUUUGUAAAAUUUAGAAAAACUAUUCCACUUUGACAUUAUGGGGUAUUGUGUAUAGGCCAGUGACACAAAAUCUCAAUUGAAUCCAUUAUAAAUUCAGGCUGUAACACAAGAAAAUGUGGAAAAAAUAAAGGUGUGUCAAUACUUUGAAGGCAAGGUACACAGUGACACUUGCUUUCCCUUCCUAAAGUGUCACUACAUUUACUUCCCUACUAAAUUGGAGUACAUCACUUUAAGUUCCAGUGUGUAUUGAGACGUUUGGAUGGACCUUAAAGUCCUCCGGUUGUGGUGCUCAUGUACUGUAUCCUCGGUCGACUACAAAGUAUUUUGAAUAUGGUAGGGAAACUCACUGCGCUGUAUGUAUUUUUGAACAAUGCCAUAACAAUGUCAUCUGCCUUGUUUAGAGUGGUUUACCAGAUGGCUUCCAUGGAGUUUCUCAACCUCCACCAAAUAGGGAAUUGCCAUUGACAGCAAGUAAACAACCAGAACACCAACUGCCGCCAAUGUAAACAUCUUAAGGUAGCAGACGUCUCUGCUACAUUCAAAACCACGGGUGCAGUUGUCAGGUAAAAACAACAUCCUCCUUACACUACCUCUCAAACGCUUUCCCAACCCAGACUCAACUCUUACAAUCUCUACCCCAAAUGUUGAAUUAACGUUGAAUGAAUGUAUUCACUGUAUACAUAUUAUCCGUAUAGGCUCGGUAAAAGGUCAUAAAGCAUCCAGUGACGGGUGGAAAUGAAGACCACACAGCUUGAAGAGAUCAGGUUGAAGAGGGAGGACAUAUUUAACUUGUGGGUCAUAGGUCAAACUCUCUCCCUUUCCAUCUCCCCCGCUCUCUUUCACUAUCUAUCACGGCACAAGGCGAGACCCAGAUGCAGACACAGGAGGCAGAUGGUUGGAGUCUUACAGUGUUUAAUAACCCAAAGGGGUAGGCAAGAGAAUGGUCGUGGACAGGCAAAAAAGUCAAAAACAGAUUAGCGUCCAGGAGGUACAGAGUGGCAGACAGGCUCGUGGUCAAGGCAGGCAGAAUGGUCAGGCAGGCAGGUACAGAGUCCAGAAACAGGCAAGGGUCAAAACCAGGAGGACUAGAAAAAGGAGAAUAGCAAAAAGGAGUAUGGGAAAAACACGCUGGUUGACUUGACUAAACAUACAAGACAAACUGGCACAGAGUGACAGGAAACACAGGGAUAAAUACACUGGGGGAAAGAAGCGACCUCUGGAGGGAGUGGAGACAAUCACAGGAACAGGUGAAACAGAUCAGGGCGUGACAUUCUCACCUUUCUCCUUCCCUCUUUCUGUCCCUCGACCCCUCUCUUUCUAUCACCCCACCUCUCUCUUUCUUUACCUACAUGUAUACUCCACUCUUUUCCUCUUCUGACCCCCUCUCUCUCCUUCAUUCUCACCCUUUCUCUCUCUCAGCCUGGCUGUUAUUUCUCCGUAUGUUUUGACUAUGUGCUACCUAAGCUGGUCUAUGCUGUGGGCCUGUGGCAGGUCUCUGGCAGACAGCAGUGUCAAGUUGGAGGGAGGGUUGGUGGGCUGUGUGUGACAUGGAGAAGGGCCCACCGGCACCGCAGCAGCUCCGCUGAGGCCAGGUCUUCAGCUGUCCCACCCUGCCUCUGCUUACAGUCACUAUCAAUCCAGCUGAUCCAGAAGCAGCCCGACCUUGACCUGACAGAUCAACACUGCUCUCUGUCUCUCUUUUAUUGGAUGGAAUGCUCCUUGGUCCACAAGAGAGGAUGGAUGGAGAGAAGAUGGAUGGAGACUAAAGAUGGAUGAAUAGAGGAUAGACUAGAGAUGGAUGGAGAGAGGAUGGAUGGAGAGAGGAUGAAUAGAGGAUAGACUAGAGAUGGAUGGAGAGAGGAUGGAUGGAGAGAGGAUGGAUAGAGACUAGAGAUUGAUGGAGAGAGGAUGGAUAGAGGAUAGAGACUAGAUAUGGAUGGAGAGAGGAUGGAUAGAGGAUAGAGACUAGAUAUGGAUGGAGAGAGGAUGGAUAGAGGAUAGAGACUAGAUAUGGAUGGAGAGAGGAUAGAGACUAGAUAUGGAUGGAGAGAGGAUGGAUAGAGGAUAGAGACUAGAUAUGGAUGGAGAGAGGAUGGAUAGAGGAUAGAGACUAGAUAAGGAUGGAGAGAGGAUGGAUAGAGGAUAGAGACUAGAUAUGGAUGGAGAGAGGAUGGAUAGAGGAUAUAGACUAGAUAUGGAUGGAGAGAGGAUGGAUAGAGGAUAGAGACUAGAUAUGGAUGGAGAGAGGAUGGAUUGAGAGAGGCGUGGGUGUGGAUGAAUGGUAAGUGGAGGACCUGCAGUACUAAAAGCCGGCGACCCAGACAAUACACACCUACUCACAGGGACCUAACACCACUCACAGGACUGCUCCUUGGAUCACUGCUACCACAUGCUAAAACACUUAGAUACCACACACACAAACAGCAAAAUGUGAAGUUCCAAGCACAUUCAAAAUACAUUCCUGAGACACACACUACCAGUCAGUCAGAGACAUAAACACACGUUAUUGUGUGUGUUGUUGCCAUGCGAUGGUGAUGAGCAGCACAUGACAUGAAUGGGGCGUGGAGCCCAACCUCUUAUCAGACAAAGGAGAUACACAAAAAGGAGGGGAGGGAAGGGAAGGGAGGAGGAGGGGGGGGACGUGCCGCCCCAGACUGCAGUCAUGAGGUCUCCAUCCCGUUCGGCACGCCGAGUCCCGUGGGUAAAAGGCCAUAAAGAAAACUUUGCGCCAGAGCUAAAAUCCCCCUCACACAGUCAAGAGUCACAACACACACACACAGGAACGGGACUGCGUAAAUCAAUGCCAUUCACCACUGGAGGACAGUGAGUUGAGGAAGUCCAGACAAGCUAUUUCACACACACGCUGUUCAUGCGACCCCAUAAAUUCACUUUUUUUAUUUUUUUUUCUGUAUGUCUUGACCGAAAAGUUGCGUUUGUCAAUAAAAUGGU